GAUGAACGCUGGCGGCGUGCCUAAUACAUGCAAGUCGAGCGAACAGACGAGGAGCUUCUCCUCUGACGUUAGCGGCGGACGGGUGAGUAACACGUGGAUAACCUACCUAUAAGACUGGGAUAACUUCGGGAAACCGGAGCUAAUACCGGAUAAUAUAUUGAACCGCAUGGUUCAAUAGUGAAAGACGGUUUUGCUGUCACUUAUAGAUGGAUCCGCGCCGCAUUAGCUAGUUGGUAAGGUAACGGCUUACCAAGGCAACGAUGCGUAGCCGACCUGAGAGGGUGAUCGGCCACACUGGAACUGAGACACGGUCCAGACUCCUACGGGAGGCAGCAGUAGGGAAUCUUCCGCAAUGGGCGAAAGCUUGACGGAGCAACGCCGCGUGAGUGAUGAAGGUCUUCGGAUCGUAAAACUCUGUUAUUAGGGAAGAACAAAUGUGUAAGUAACUAUGCACGUCUUGACGGUACCUAAUCAGAAAGCCACGGCUAACUACGUG
This 496-nucleotide ribosomal RNA is filed under the name uncultured bacterium. Its description in RNAcentral is "partial 16S ribosomal RNA". It matches the Rfam family "Bacterial small subunit ribosomal RNA", at positions 28 to 507 of the family's 1533-position model. The record is from RNAcentral.